AUUGAACGCUGGCGGGAUGCCUUACACAUGCAAGUCGAACGAGUGGCGGACGGGUGAGUAAUGUAUCGGAACGUGCCCAGUAGCGGGGGAUAACUACUCGAAAGGGUGGCUAAUACCGCAUACAAUUGGAGCGGCCGAGAUGGGAUUAGCUAGUUGGUGGGGUAAAGGCUCACCAAGGCAACGAUCCGUAGCUGGUUUGAGAGGAUGACCAGCCACACUGGGACUGAGACACGGCCCAGACUCCUACGGGAGGCAGCAGUGGGGAAUAUUGCACAAUGGGGGAAACCCUGAUCCAGCCAUGCCGCGUGUAUGAGAAGGCCUUCGGGUUGUAAAGUACUUUCGGCAGGGAAGCGGUACCUGCAGAAUAAGCACCGGCUAACUCCGUGCCAGCAGCCGCGGUAAUUC
This 405-nucleotide ribosomal RNA is filed under the name uncultured bacterium. RNAcentral describes it as "partial 16S ribosomal RNA". It matches the Rfam family "Bacterial small subunit ribosomal RNA", at positions 30 to 526 of the family's 1533-position model. The record is from RNAcentral.